This 422-nucleotide ribosomal RNA is filed under the name uncultured bacterium. RNAcentral describes it as "bacterial SSU rRNA". It matches the Rfam family "Bacterial small subunit ribosomal RNA", at positions 355 to 774 of the family's 1533-position model. The record is from RNAcentral.
UAAGGAAUAUUGGACAAUGGUCGCAAGACUGAUCCAGCCAUGCCGCGUGCAGGAAGACGGCCCUAUGGGUUGUAAACUGCUUUUGUACCAGAGAAAACCUAUCUACGUGUAGAUAGCUGAUAGUAUGGUAAGAAUAAGCAUCGGCUAACUUCGUGCCAGCAGCCGCGGUAAGACGAAGGAUGCAAGCGUUAUCCGGAUUCAUUGGGUUUAAAGGGUGCGUAGGCGGGCUUGUAAGUCAGUGGUGAAAUCUCUCAGCUUAACUGAGAAACUGCCAUUGNUACUGCAGGCCUAGAGUAUAGAUGACGUUGGCGGAAUAUGACAUGUAGUGGUGAAAUACUUAGAUAUGUCAUAGAACACCGAUUGCGAAGGCAGCUAACGAAACUAUAACUGACGCUGAGGCACGAAAGUGCGGGGAUCAAACA